RNAcentral lists this ribosomal RNA (405 nucleotides) under Bacillus thuringiensis. RNAcentral's name for it is "bacterial LSU rRNA". It matches the Rfam family "Bacterial large subunit ribosomal RNA", at positions 2048 to 2452 of the family's 2925-position model. Lineage: Bacteria; Bacillati; Bacillota; Bacilli; Caryophanales; Bacillaceae. The record is from RNAcentral.
UCGCUGUGAAGAUGCAGUGUAUCCGCGGCUAGACGGAAAGACCCCGUGAACCUUUACUAUAGCUUUGCACUGGACUUUGAAUUUGCUUGUGUAGGAUAGGUGGGAGGCUUUGAAGUGGGGACGCCAGUUCUCAUGGAGCCAUCCUUGAAAUACCACCCUGGCAACUUUGAGGUUCUAACUCAGGUCCGUUAUCCGGAUCGAGGACAGUGUAUGGUGGGUAGUUUGACUGGGGCGGUCUCCUCCCAAAGAGUAACGGAGGAGUACGAAGGUGCGCUCAGACCGGUCGGAAAUCGGUCGUAGAGUAUAAAGGCAAAAGCGCGCUUGACUGCGAGACAAACACGUCGAGCAGGUACGAAAGUAGGUCUUAGUGAUCCGGUGGUUCUGUAUGGAAGGGCCAUCGCUCAA